Molecule: unclassified non-coding RNA, 248 nt
Filed under: uncultured Sordariales
Lineage: Eukaryota; Fungi; Ascomycota; Sordariomycetes; Sordariales
Also listed under: 1 other name
Description: sequence contains ITS2
Rfam family: 5.8S ribosomal RNA (bases 1-52)
Source: RNAcentral
AACGCACAUUGCGCCCGCGAGUAUUCUCGCGGGCAUGCCUGUUCGAGCGUCAUUUCAACCAUCAAGCCCCCGGCUUGUGUUGGGGACCUGCGGCUGCCCGCAGGCCCUGAAAUCCAGUGGCGGGCUCGCUGUCGCACCGAGCGUAGUAGCAUACUUCUCGCUCCGGGAGCGCGGCGGGCGCCUGCCGUAAAACCCCCUACAUACCAAAGGUUGACCUCGGAUCAGGUAGGAAUACCCGCUGAACUUAA